Molecule: unclassified non-coding RNA, 331 nt
Filed under: soil metagenome
Description: partial contains 5.8S ribosomal RNA, internal transcribed spacer 2, and large subunit ribosomal RNA
Rfam family: 5.8S ribosomal RNA (bases 1-120)
Source: RNAcentral
GAUGAAGAACGUAGCGAAAUGCGAUAAGUAAUGUGAAUUGCAGAAUUCAGUGAAUCAUCGAAUCUUUGAACGCACAUUGCGCCCCCUGGAAUUCCGGGGGGCAUGCCUGUUCGAGCGUCAUUUCACCACUCAAGCCUCGCUUGGUAUUGGGCAACGCGGUCCGCCGCGUGCCUCAAAUCGACCGGCUGGGUCUUCUGUCCCCUAAGCGUUGUGGAAACUAUUCGCUAAAGGGUGUUCGGGAGGCUACGCCGUAAAACAACCCCAUUUCUAAGGUUGACCUCGGAUCAGGUAGGGAUACCCGCUGAACUUAAGCAUAUCAAUAAGCGGAGGA